This 253-nucleotide ribosomal RNA is filed under the name uncultured bacterium. RNAcentral's name for it is "partial 16S ribosomal RNA". It matches the Rfam family "Bacterial small subunit ribosomal RNA", at positions 524 to 776 of the family's 1533-position model. The record is from RNAcentral.
UACGAAGGGAGCUAGCGUUGUUCGGAAUCACUGGGCGUAAAGCGCACGUAGGCGGAUGUGUCAGUCAGAGGUGAAAUCCCGGAGCUCAACUUCGGAACUGCCUUUGAUACAGCACGUCUUGAGUCCGAUAGAGGUGGGUGGAAUUCCUAGUGUAGCGGUGAAAUGCGUAGAUAUACGGAGGAACACCAGCGGCGAAGGCGGGUAGCUGGGCCAACACUGACGCUGAUGCGCGAAAGCUAGGGGAGCAAACGGG